Molecule: ribosomal RNA, 492 nt
Filed under: uncultured bacterium
Lineage: Bacteria
Description: bacterial SSU rRNA
Rfam family: Bacterial small subunit ribosomal RNA
Source: RNAcentral
AGAGUUUGAUCCUGGCUCAGGACGAACGCUGGCGGCGUGCCUUAAGCAUGCAAGUAGAACGAGUUUCUUUCUUGCCGCAAGGCAAGCUUGAAGCUAGUUGCGAACGGCUGAGUAUAAGAUAGGAAUCUUUCCUUUGGUGGGGAAUACCUCCGGGAAACCGGAGCUAAUACCGCAUAAGAUCUACGGAUGAACGCGCAUAACUGCGCGCCGAUUGAGGAGCCUAUCUCCCAUCAGGCAGUUGGUAGGGUAAUGGCCUACCAAACCUACGACGGGUACCCGCUCUGAGAGGAGAACCGGGCAGAAUGGGACUGAGACACGGCCCAUACACCUACGGGUGGCAGCAACUGGGAAUCGUACACAAUGGACGAAAGUCUGAUGUCGCGACGCCGCGUGAGGGAUGAAGGUCUUCGGAUCGUAAACCUCUUUUGCCGUGAGUGAGAACUCAUGGAGAAUAAGCACCUGCUAACCUCGUGCCAGCAGCCGCGGUAAUAC